GUUCCUACGGGGGGCAGCAGUAGGGAAUCUUUCACAAUGGGCGAAAGCCUGAUGGAGCAACGCCGCGUGCAGGAUGAAGGCCUUCGGGUUGUAAACUGCUUUUAUAAGCGAGAAAUAUGAUGGUAACUUAUGAAUAAGGAUCGGCUAACUACGUGCCAGCAGCCGCGGUAAUACGUAGGUGGCAAGCGUUGUCCGGAUUUACUGGGUGUAAAGGGCGUGUAGCCGGGUUGACAAGUCAGAUGUGAAAUCCUGCGGCUUAACCGCAGAACUGCAUUUGAAACUGUUGAUCUUGAGUACUGGAGAGG
RNAcentral lists this ribosomal RNA (305 nucleotides) under uncultured bacterium. Its description in RNAcentral is "bacterial SSU rRNA". It matches the Rfam family "Bacterial small subunit ribosomal RNA", at positions 335 to 657 of the family's 1533-position model. The record is from RNAcentral.